Long non-coding RNA from Brassica napus (rape), 636 nucleotides. RefSeq lists it as uncharacterized. The transcript is spliced from 4 exons. Lineage: Eukaryota; Viridiplantae; Streptophyta; Magnoliopsida; Brassicales; Brassicaceae. The record is from RefSeq and is a predicted model, not a curated record.
UUUCUUUUGUAAAUUUUUAUCGGCGUAAGCGAGAGUGGUUCUGCACCACUCAUUAACAUGUGAUCCAAUGGCCACAAUCUAUAGAUAAAUCAUGAUGUGAUUUAUACUAAUUUUCAGCCUUUGGAUCUUUUGAUCUAGAUUCAAAACAAACAAUUCAGAUUAUACAACAACUCAAACAAGCUAGUUCUAUUAAAUCCGACGAAAUGCUUUAUGCCUCCUCCACCACCGUAAAAUCCUCACUUUCUGCUAAAACCUACGGCGGAUCAGAUUGUCAUACAUUAUGUUCUUGUUCUUGUGAAGUAACUUUUUCAUGCGUCUUCAGUUUUAGUGUUGUUUAAUUUUAUUUUUCGUAUAAGAAGUGGAACUUAUCGAAGUUGGGUUGAAGAGCAGUUCACCAGAGUAUAAAAUGAGAAAAACGGUGGCGGAGAAGAGAAGAUACAGCUGCUGCUGAGAUGAGAGCGUUGGCUUAUCCUACAACAAGAACCAUUUCAGAGCCAUUGUUAUCUAUGCGGAAGUUGCAAGAUUCAAUAUUGAACAACCUUCACCUUAUGAUAAAGUUGUUUUCGAGGCUGUUAGUUACUUGAUCUCUGAGGUCAAGGAUGUGUACAGUUGCAGUAUGGAUUUGUUUUUUUGGUC